UUUAAUCCUGUUUUAAAAAAAAUGUAUAUAUUUUUUUCACUGUUGUAGAGCUGCCAAAGAAAAACAAAGGGCUGCAAAAGCACAGAAGAAAGCUACCACUGCACCUCCAAAGGUACAGAAAGUUGCUCAGAAACAGAAAGCUGCAAAACCUAUUCAGACUAAAGCUCCUCGUGUUGGUGGAAAAAGAUAAAUCUUUUUGAUGUCUAAAUAAAAUUAUCUUCUCAAAUAAA
Long non-coding RNA from Stegodyphus dumicola, 230 nucleotides. Lineage: Eukaryota; Metazoa; Arthropoda; Arachnida; Araneae; Eresidae. The record is from RefSeq and is a predicted model, not a curated record.